GAUGAACGCUGGCGGUGUGCCUAACACAUGCAAGUCGAGCGAACAGACGAUGAGCUCGUUCCUUUCACGUUAGCGCCGGACGGGCGAGUAACACGUGCAUAACCUUCCUCUUAUUCUUGGAUGAUUUCGUGAAACCGGUUCUAAUACUGGCUAAUACAUUCUACCGCUUGGUGCAAUAGUUCAACACGCCUUUCCUGUCUCUUUUAGCCGGUUUCGCGCUGGAUUAGCUAGUUGGUAAGGUAACGGCUUACCAAGGCGACGAUGCGUAGCCGACCUGAGAGGGUGAUCGGCCACACUGGAACUGAGACACGGUCAAGACUCCUACGGGAGGCAGCAGUGGGGAAUCUUCGGCAAUGGGCGAAAGCCUGAUGCAGCAACACCGCGUGGGUGAGGAAGGCCUUCGGAUCGUAAAGCUCUGUUGUUGGGAAAGAACAGAUGUAGGAGAAACUAUGGACGUCUUGACGGUACCUAAUGAAAAAGCCACGGCUAACUUCGUG
RNAcentral lists this ribosomal RNA (497 nucleotides) under uncultured bacterium. RNAcentral describes it as "partial 16S ribosomal RNA". It matches the Rfam family "Bacterial small subunit ribosomal RNA", at positions 28 to 507 of the family's 1533-position model. The record is from RNAcentral.